This 443-nucleotide ribosomal RNA is filed under the name uncultured bacterium. RNAcentral's name for it is "partial 16S ribosomal RNA". It matches the Rfam family "Bacterial small subunit ribosomal RNA", at positions 338 to 795 of the family's 1533-position model. The record is from RNAcentral.
CCUACGGGAGGCAGCAGUGGGGAAUAUUGGGCAAUGGGCGCAAGCCUGACCCAGCAACGCCGCGUGAAGGAAGAAGGCCCUCGGGUUGUAAACCUCUUUUAUCAGGGACGAAACAAAUGACGGUAACUGCUGAAUAAGCCACGGCUAACUACGUGCCAGCAGCCGCGGUAAUACGUAGGUGGCAAGCGUUAUCCGGAUUUACUGGGUGUAAAGGGCGGGUAGGCGGGAGGGCAAGUCAGACGUGAAAUUCCAGGGCUCAACCCUGGAACUGCGUUUGAGACUGUUAUUCUUGAGUGAUGUAGAGGCAGGCGGAAUUCCGUGUGUAGCGGUGAAAUGCGUAGAUAUACGGAAGAACACCGGUGGCGAAGGCAGCCUGCUGGACAUUAACUGACGCUGAGGCGCGAAAGCGUGGGGAGCAAACAGGAUUAGAUACCCGAGUAGUC